UGCCAGCCGCCGCGGUAAUACGGAGGGUGCAAGCGUUAUUCGGAAUUGCUGGGCGUAAAGCGCGCGUAGGCGGACUGUUAAGUCGGAUGUGAAAGCCCUGGGCUCAACCUGGGAAUUGCAUUCGAUACUGCUUAGCUAGAGUAUGAGAGAGGGUAGUGGAAUUCCGGGUGUAGCGGUGAAAUGCGUAGAUAUCCGGAGGAAUACCGGUGGCGAAGGCGGCCUCCUGGCUCGAUACUGACGCUGAGGCGCGAAGGCGUGGGUAGCGAACGGGAUUAGAUA
Molecule: ribosomal RNA, 279 nt
Filed under: uncultured bacterium
Lineage: Bacteria
Description: partial 16S ribosomal RNA
Rfam family: Bacterial small subunit ribosomal RNA
Source: RNAcentral